RNAcentral lists this unclassified non-coding RNA (918 nucleotides) under Melitaea cinxia (Glanville fritillary). Its description in RNAcentral is "misc RNA ENSMCXG00005014483.1". Lineage: Eukaryota; Metazoa; Arthropoda; Insecta; Lepidoptera; Nymphalidae. The record is from RNAcentral.
CCCAUUCAGGGGAUAUAGGACUUGAUGAGUCAACAGAGACAGUUAACAGGUUGAGGAUGGAUAUUUAUAUCUACAGAUGCUUCUGUUCAGUUUGGAUGUCUGUCCUUGUGGGUCUCCCCACUGUGCCUCCAGAGAGCACAUUAAGCAGUCCGUCCUCAUUGUUAUCAAAAAUACCCGAUAACAAUCAUUACUCAUAGCAGGGAAAAUAUCUGCCAAUUCACAGUGGAGCAGUGAAAUGGGUUUAAUCCUUCUCCUACAUGGAGAAAGAGGCCUAUACCCAGCAAUGGGAUGUAAAAGGCUGAAUCUAUGUGUGCUACUGAUGUAAUAAUGAUCAUUUUUUAAUAAAUAAAAUAUAAAAGACUGUUUUAAUAUUUUUUUAUUGACAUUAAGCAAUAAGUCUACGAAGAUGCAACAGCUUUCUUAGGUGUAGGUUUUCCUUCCUUGAAACCGUUGCGGAAACGCCUUCUAACAAUUUUAAGAUGACGCAUGCGGCCUGUUCCUGUAGUCUUCCUGCGUUUAAUCUCAAUUUAGCUGCAGGAUAACCACAUUGAGCACAUUUCGAUUUUUGGAUAUGAUAUGAAGAUCUUCCACAUCUUCUGCACAGUGUAUGUGUCUUAUUUCGGCGUUUACCGAAGCUUGAUGUACCUUUCGUCUGAAAUAUUUACCAAAAGGUUAUUUUUCCCACCACUCAUUAAAACAAAAAUAUACAUUAACUAUAAAUAAUUAUAUUAUCCGAAAGCGUUUAGCUUGAGUACUCCACAAUUGUAUGUCAUAUUUUAAAUGAUAUUUCAGGAUUUUAUUUUAAAAUUAAAAAAAUACUCUACCAUUUUGUCGGAAUUUGACAAUCAAAGACCGAUGAAAGAAAAGUAAAGAUGUUGCUAGUUAAUAUCUGUGGGCCAGUGUUGCAUUAUAAAUAAA